Pan troglodytes (chimpanzee) is the source of this 117-nucleotide non-coding RNA. It matches the Rfam family "Metazoan signal recognition particle RNA". From Rfam's summary of the family: The signal recognition particle (SRP) is a universally conserved ribonucleoprotein. It is involved in the co-translational targeting of proteins to membranes. The eukaryotic SRP consists of a 300-nucleotide 7S RNA and six proteins: SRPs 72, 68, 54, 19, 14, and 9. The record is from Rfam. NCBI's taxonomy places the organism in Eukaryota, Metazoa, Chordata, Mammalia, Primates, Hominidae.
GCCGGGCGUGGUGGCUCACACCUGUAAUCCCAGCAUUUUGGGAGGCCGAGGCAGGUGGAUCACCUGAGGUCAGGAGUUUGAGACCAGCCUGGCCAACAUGGUGAAACCCUGUCUCUA